GACGAACGCUGGCGGCGUGCUUAACACAUGCAAGUCGAACGGAAAGGCCCUGCUUUUGUGGGGUGCUCGAGUGGCGAACGGGUGCGUAACACGUGAGUAACCUGCCCUUGACUUUGGGAUAACUUCAGGAAACUGGGGCUAAUACCGGAUAGGAGCUCCUGCUGCAUGGUGGGGGUUGGAACGUUUCGGCGGUUGGGGAUGGACUCGCGGCUUAUCAGCUUGUUGGUGGGGUAGUGGCUUACCAAGGCUUUGACGGGUAGCCGGCCUGAGAGGGUGACCGGCGACAUUGGGACUGAGAUACGGCCCAGACUCCUACGGGAGGCAGCAGGGGGGAAUAUUGCACAAUGGGCGGAAGCCUGAUGCAGCAACGCCGCGUGCGGGAUGACGGCCUUCGGGGUGUAAACCGCUUUCGCCUGUGACGAAGCGUGAGUGACGGUAAUGGGUAAAGAAGCACCGGCUAACUACGUG
This 468-nucleotide ribosomal RNA is filed under the name uncultured bacterium. RNAcentral describes it as "partial 16S ribosomal RNA". It matches the Rfam family "Bacterial small subunit ribosomal RNA", at positions 28 to 507 of the family's 1533-position model. The record is from RNAcentral.